GGUUAAGCGACUAAGCGUACACGGUGGAUGCCCUGGCAGUCAGAGGCGAUGAAGGACGUGCUAAUCUGCGAUAAGCGUCGGUAAGGUGAUAUGAACCGUUAUAACCGGCGAUUUCCGAAUGGGGAAACCCAGUGUGUUUCGACACACUAUCAUUAACUGAAUCCAUAGGUUAAUGAGGCGAACCGGGGGAACUGAAACAUCUAAGUACCCCGAGGAAAAGAAAUCAACCGAGAUUCCCCCAGUAGCGGCGAGCGAACGGGGAGCAGCCCAGAGCCUGAAUCAGUAUGUGUGUUAGUGGAAGCGUCUGGAAAGGCGCGCGAUACAGGGUGACAGCCCCGUACACAAAAAUGCACAUGCUGUGAGCUCGAUGAGUAGGGCGGGACACGUGGUAUCCUGUCUGAAUAUGGGGGGACCAUCCUCCAAGGCUAAAUACUCCUGACUGACCGAUAGUGAACCAGUACCGUGAGGGAAAGGCGAAAAGAACCCCGGCGAGGGGAGUGAAAAAGAACCUGAAACCGUGUACGUACAAGCAGUGGGAGCACGCUUAGGCGUGUGACUGCGUACCUUUUGUAUAAUGGGUCAGCGACUUAUAUUCUGUAGCAAGGUUAACCGAAUAGGGGAGCCGAAGGGAAACCGAGUCUUAACUGGGCGUUAAGUUGCAGGGUAUAGACCCGAAACCCGGUGAUCUAGCCAUGGGCAGGUUGAAGGUUGGGUAACACUAACUGGAGGACCGAACCGACUAAUGUUGAAAAAUUAGCGGAUGACUUGUGGCUGGGGGUGAAAGGCCAAUCAAACCGGGAGAUAGCUGGUUCUCCCCGAAAGCUAUUUAGGUAGCGCCUCGUGAAUUCAUCUCCGGGGGUAGAGCACUGUUUCGGCAAGGGGGUCAUCCCGACUUACCAACCCGAUGCAAACUGCGAAUACCGGAGAAUGUUAUCACGGGAGACACACGGCGGGUGCUAACGUCCGUCGUGAAGAGGGAAACAACCCAGACCGCCAGCUAAGGUCCCAAAGUCAUGGUUAAGUGGGAAACGAUGUGGGAAGGCCCAGACAGCCAGGAUGUUGGCUUAGAAGCAGCCAUCAUUUAAAGAAAGCGUAAUAGCUCACUGGUCGAGUCGGCCUGCGCGGAAGAUGUAACGGGGCUAAACCAUGCACCGAAGCUGCGGCAGCGACGCUUAUGCGUUGUUGGGUAGGGGAGCGUUCUGUAAGCCUGUGAAGGUGUACUGUGAGGUAUGCUGGAGGUAUCAGAAGUGCGAAUGCUGACAUAAGUAACGAUAAAGCGGGUGAAAAGCCCGCUCGCCGGAAGACCAAGGGUUCCUGUCCAACGUUAAUCGGGGCAGGGUGAGUCGACCCCUAAGGCGAGGCCGAAAGGCGUAGUCGAUGGGAAACAGGUUAAUAUUCCUGUACUUGGUGUUACUGCGAAGGGGGGACGGAGAAGGCUAUGUUGGCCGGGCGACGGUUGUCCCGGUUUAAGCGUGUAGGCUGGUUUUCCAGGCAAAUCCGGAAAAUCAAGGCUGAGGCGUGAUGACGAGGCACUACGGUGCUGAAGCAACAAAUGCCCUGCUUCCAGGAAAAGCCUCUAAGCAUCAGGUAACAUCAAAUCGUACCCCAAACCGACACAGGUGGUCAGGUAGAGAAUACCAAGGCGCUUGAGAGAACUCGGGUGAAGGAACUAGGCAAAAUGGUGCCGUAACUUCGGGAGAAGGCACGCUGAUAUGUAGGUGAAGCGACUUGCUCGUGGAGCUGAAAUCAGUCGAAGAUACCAGCUGGCUGCAACUGUUUAUUAAAAACACAGCACUGUGCAAACACGAAAGUGGACGUAUACGGUGUGACGCCUGCCCGGUGCCGGAAGGUUAAUUGAUGGGGUCAGCGCAAGCGAAGCUCUUGAUCGAAGCCCCGGUAAACGGCGGCCGUAACUAUAACGGUCCUAAGGUAGCGAAAUUCCUUGUCGGGUAAGUUCCGACCUGCACGAAUGGCGUAAUGAUGGCCAGGCUGUCUCCACCCGAGACUCAGUGAAAUUGAACUCGCUGUGAAGAUGCAGUGUACCCGCGGCAAGACGGAAAGACCCCGUGAACCUUUACUAUAGCUUGACACUGAACAUUGAGCCUUGAUGUGUAGGAUAGGUGGGAGGCUUUGAAGUGUGGACGCCAGUCUGCAUGGAGCCGACCUUGAAAUACCACCCUUUAAUGUUUGAUGUUCUAACGUGGACCCGUAAUCCGGGUUGCGGACAGUGUCUGGUGGGUAGUUUGACUGGGGCGGUCUCCUCCUAAAGAGUAACGGAGGAGCACGAAGGUUGGCUAAUCCUGGUCGGACAUCAGGAGGUUAGUGCAAUGGCAUAAGCCAGCUUGACUGCGAGCGUGACGGCGCGAGCAGGUGCGAAAGCAGGUCAUAGUGAUCCGGUGGUUCUGAAUGGAAGGGCCAUCGCUCAACGGAUAAAAGGUACUCCGGGGAUAACAGGCUGAUACCGCCCAAGAGUUCAUAUCGACGGCGGUGUUUGGCACCUCGAUGUCGGCUCAUCACAUCCUGGGGCUGAAGUAGGUCCCAAGGGUAUGGCUGUUCGCCAUUUAAAGUGGUACGCGAGCUGGGUUUAGAACGUCGUGAGACAGUUCGGUCCCUAUCUGCCGUGGGCGCUGGAGAACUGAGGGGGGCUGCUCCUAGUACGAGAGGACCGGAGUGGACGCAUCACUGGUGUUCGGGUUGUCAUGCCAAUGGCACUGCCCGGUAGCUAAAUGCGGAAGAGAUAAGUGCUGAAAGCAUCUAAGCACGAAACUUGCCCCGAGAUGAGUUCUCCCUGACUCCUUGAGAGUCCUGAAGGAACGUUGAAGACGACGACGUUGAUAGGCCGGGUGUGUAAGCGCAGCGAUGCGUUGAGCUAACCGGUACUAAUGAACCGUGAGGCUUAACCUUAC
This 2906-nucleotide ribosomal RNA is filed under the name Escherichia coli O104:H4 str. 01-09591. Its description in RNAcentral is "bacterial LSU rRNA". It matches the Rfam family "Bacterial large subunit ribosomal RNA". Lineage: Bacteria; Pseudomonadati; Pseudomonadota; Gammaproteobacteria; Enterobacterales; Enterobacteriaceae. The record is from RNAcentral.